This 994-nucleotide ribosomal RNA is filed under the name uncultured eukaryote. Its description in RNAcentral is "bacterial SSU rRNA". It matches the Rfam family "Eukaryotic small subunit ribosomal RNA", at positions 853 to 1831 of the family's 1831-position model. The record is from RNAcentral.
AGGACUGAAGUAAUGNUAUAGGGAUAGUGGGGCNUAGUNUUNANUNUCAGNGNGAAAUNUCGGAUUGUNAAGACUAACUAUGCGAAAGCAUUGCCAAGNNNGNNUUCAUUAUCAAGANCGAAAGUUAGGGGAUCAAAGACGAUCCAGAUACNGUCCUAGUCUUAACCAUAAANUACGCNGACUAGGGAUCGGAGGCGCGUCAUAUCNGCUUUCGGCACCUUAUGAGAAAUCAAAGUCUUUGGGUUNUGGGGGGAGUAUGGUCGCAAGGCUGAAACUUAAAGGAAUUGACGGAAGGGCACCACCAGGAGUGGAGCUUGCGGCUCAAUUUGACUCAACGCGGGAAAACUUACCAGGUCCAGACAUAGUGAGGAUUGACAGAUUGAUAGCUCUUUCUUGAUUNUAUGGGUGGUGGUGCAUGGCCGUUCUUAGUUAGUGGAGUGAUUUGUCUGGUUAAUUCCGUUAACGAACGAGACCUUAGCCUACUAACUAGUCGAUUCAAUUUCGAUUGACUCCGACUUNUUAGAGGGACUUUGUGGGCCAAACACAAGGAAGUUUGAGGCAAUAACAGGUCUGUGAUGCCCUUAGAUGUCCUGGGCCGCACGCGUGCUACACUGACGCAUACAGCGAGUACUUCCCAGCUCCGUGAGGCAGCUGGUAAUCAGCAAUAUGCGUCGUGAUGGGGAUAGAUCUUUGGAAUUAUAGAUCUUGAACGAGGAAUUCCUAGUAAGCGCAAGUCAUUACCUUGCGCUGAUUAAGUCCCUGCCCUUUGUACACACCGCCCGUCGCUCCUACCGAUUUCGAGUGGUCCGGUGAACCUUUUGGACUGCGCGAGGCCUCGUGCCUUGUGCGGAAAAUCAUGUAAACCAUAUCACUUAGAGGAAGGAGAAGUCGUAACAAGGUUUCCGUAGGUGAACCUGCAGAAGGAUCAAAGGGNNNAGGAAACAGCUAUGACAUCGGAAAACCCGUUACUGGCGCUGCGAGAGAAAAUCAGCGC